Molecule: ribosomal RNA, 164 nt
Filed under: uncultured bacterium
Lineage: Bacteria
Description: partial 16S ribosomal RNA
Rfam family: Bacterial small subunit ribosomal RNA
Source: RNAcentral
UAGGGAAUCUUCCACAAUGGACGAAAGUCUGAUGGAGCAACGCCGCGUGAGUGAAGAAGGGUUUCGGCUCGUAAAACUCUGUUGUUAAAGAAGAACAUAUCUGAGAGUAACUGUUCAGGUAUUGACGGUAUUUAACCGGAAAGCCACGGCUAACUACGUACCAG